AAAAAACUUCAGCUUUGCUCGAUUUCUCGCAUACACAGGUAAACCAUGAAGCAUAACAAUGUUAUCCCCAACGGCCACUUUAAGAAGCAUUGGCAAAACUAUGUGAGGACAUGGUUUAACCAACCUGCUCGCAAAACAAGGAGACGUGCUGCUAGGCAGAAGAAAGCUGCAACAAUCUUCCCUAGGCCAACAGCAGGAUCACUCAGACCUAUUGUUCAUGGACAAACACUAAAAUACAACAUGAAAGUCAGAGCUGGCCGGGGAUUCUCUCUAGAAGAGCUGAAAGCAGCUGGUAUCCCCAAAAAAACUUGCUCCAACUAUCGGCAUUGCUGUGGAUCACAGGCGCAGGAACAGAUCCCUUGAAGGUCUCCAGACCAACGUCCAGAGACUCAAGACAUACAAAGCUAAGCUCGUUAUCUUCCCAAGGCAUGCUAAGAAAGUCAAGGCUGGUGAUUCUAGUGCUGAGGAACUUGCUAAUGCCACCCAAGUCCAGGGUCCUUACUUGCCUAUUGUUAGAGAUCAGCCAGCUAUCGAGCUUGUGAAGAUCACAGAUGAAAUGAAAUCAUUCAAAGCUUAUGGCAAGCUGCGUAUUGAGCGUACCAAUGCUCGUCAUUUUGGUGCUAGGUUGAAGAGAGCAGCUGAAGCUGAGAAGGAAGAGAAGAAAUAAGACAUUUCUAAUGUCUUAUAGCCCUUGCACACUAGCAUUGCUAAAUUUUUUUUGCACGAGUCUAAAUGAUGAAUUAUUUUUGAGUACUAUUAUUUCAUGUAAUUUUUUUUUCCGUACUCGUCGAUGGAGUCUGUUACGACGAGUCAAGACUAUAACUCCCAUAGUAGUA
RNAcentral lists this unclassified non-coding RNA (836 nucleotides) under Hevea brasiliensis (rubber tree). The record is from RNAcentral. Lineage: Eukaryota; Viridiplantae; Streptophyta; Magnoliopsida; Malpighiales; Euphorbiaceae.